Molecule: ribosomal RNA, 253 nt
Filed under: uncultured bacterium
Lineage: Bacteria
Description: partial 16S ribosomal RNA
Rfam family: Bacterial small subunit ribosomal RNA
Source: RNAcentral
UACGUAGGGGGCAAGCGUUGUCCGGAUUUAUUGGGCGUAAAGAGCGUGUAGGCGGCUUUACAGGUCCGUUGUGAAAACUCGAGGCUCAACCUCGAGACGCCGGUGGAAACCGUAAAGCUAGAGUCCGGAAGAGGAGAGUGGAAUUCCUGGUGUAGCGGUGAAAUGCGCAGAUAUCAGGAAGAACACCCGUGGCGAAGGCGGCUCACUGGACCAUAACUGACGCUGAGGCACGAAAGCUAGGGGAGCAAACAGG